RNAcentral lists this unclassified non-coding RNA (830 nucleotides) under Bombus terrestris (buff-tailed bumblebee). RNAcentral describes it as "misc RNA ENSBTSG00005029689.1". The record is from RNAcentral. Lineage: Eukaryota; Metazoa; Arthropoda; Insecta; Hymenoptera; Apidae.
CAAAAAGUCCAUCAUUUCUUUUCUUUACUAAAUAAUUCGUAUAACCGUCAGGUAACUAUGCUUUCCUCCAGAAACAUAUAUCAUAUCUACCAUCCACCAUCUUCUCUUCCUCCGACGAGUCAACCACUUCCUUCUUCCUCGAGAACAUAUCUUCAAUCUCCCUCAAAGUCUUUCCCUUAGUCUCAGCGGCCUCCAUGUCCGGGUAAGUUUUCACCGUGAUGGAGCUGAAGAUGUAAUUGAUACACGUAGUCAAUCCUGACAACGCUUCUUUAACCUUCGUUGGAUACACUUCGCCCACCAUGGCGAAUGGGAUCACCAAGAAGCCAAAAGUGCUUCCAAAAAUGUACAUAAGUAUACAUAUCACAGAUCCAGAAACGAUAGAAGGUUUUCUCCUUCCUAAUUUUCCUGACAUGCACGACACUAGUAAAGUACCUACUAAUCUUGUUAAUCCUAUCAAAACUGCCCCCAAAUUGGGAUCUAUAGUGACUCCAGCGCUUUGUAUAAUUUCCACUGCGUAGUAGACGAUGAUGAAAAGUCCGGAGAAUUGCUGGAAAAAGAAAUAACCGAGCAGGAUUGCAAAAGGUACCAUGGCGUUCCUCUUGAGCAUAUGUUUCAUGAAAUUUUGUUUCUUUCGCUGAGGACGUGGUUUUAAUUCUUCGUAGAGCUGUGGCGGAGGAGGCACGUCUUUUGGGAUGCCGCGGAAUUUUUUCAACACCUGUAACGCCUCGUCUAGACGACCUCUGUCUCGUAACCAGAUCGGGGUUUCUAGGACGACGGCCAAGGUCAGUACGGCCGAGACCAGAGGAAACAGAGCGCACAUCAGAGCUACC